GACGAACGCUGGCGGCGUGCCUAAUACAUGCAAGUCGAGCGGACGGAUGGGAGCUUGCUCCCAGACCGUCAGCGGCGGACGGGUGAGUAACACGUGGGCAACCUGCCUGUAAGACUGGGAUAACUCCGGGAAACCGGGGCUAAUACCGGAUAACUCUUUCCCUCACAUGAGGGAAAGCUGAAAGAUGGCAUCUCGCUAUCACUUACAGAUGGGCCCGCGGCGCAUUAGCUAGUUGGUGAGGUAACGGCUCACCAAGGCGACGUUGCGUAGCCGACCUGAGAGGGUGAUCGGCCAAACUGGGACUGAGACACGGCCCAGAGUCCUACGGGAGGCAGCAGUAGGGAAUCUUCGGCGAUGGACGAAAGUCUGACGGAGCAACGCCGCAUGAGUGAUGAAGGUUUUCGGAUCGUAAAACUCUGUUGUCAGGGAAGAACAAGUACCGGAGUAACUGCCGGUACCUUGACGGUACCUGACCAGAAAGCCACGGCUAACUACGUG
This 498-nucleotide ribosomal RNA is filed under the name uncultured bacterium. Its description in RNAcentral is "partial 16S ribosomal RNA". It matches the Rfam family "Bacterial small subunit ribosomal RNA", at positions 28 to 507 of the family's 1533-position model. The record is from RNAcentral.